This 463-nucleotide ribosomal RNA is filed under the name uncultured bacterium. RNAcentral's name for it is "bacterial SSU rRNA". It matches the Rfam family "Bacterial small subunit ribosomal RNA", at positions 24 to 518 of the family's 1533-position model. The record is from RNAcentral.
UCAGAACGAACGCUGGCGGCAGGUCUUAGGCAUGCAAGUCGAACGGAUGACAAGGGAGCUUGCUCCUGAAGUCAGUGGCGCACGAGUGAGUAACGCGCGGGAAACUGCCCUUCACUGGGGAAUAACGUUUGGAAACGAACGCUAAUACCGCAUACGCCCGCAAGGGGAAAGAUUUAUCGGUGAUGGAUGUGCCCGCGUUGGAUUAGCUAGUUGGUGGGGUAAUGGCCUACCAAGGCGAUGAUCCAUAGCUGGUCUGAGAGGACGAUCAGCCACGCUGGAACUGAGACACGGUCCAGACUCCUACGGGAGGCAGCAGCUAAGAAUAUUGGGCAAUGGAGGAAACUCUGACCCAGCCAAUGCCGCGUGAAUGAAGAAGGCCUUCGGGUUGUAAAGUUCUUUUAGUCAUGAAGAUGAUGACAGUAGUGACAGAAAAAGCACCGGCUAACUUCGUGCCAGCAGCUGC